UGUGGGGAAGCGAGAAUCAAAUGCUCCUAAAGGGACCAUCUUCGCCUCCGCUUGCAGUGACAGAAAAUCAGGAUAAGGCGCAGAAGCGGAGGCGUGCGACUCGACCAAGAGAGACACAAAAGAUCUUUGCGAGGGAUAACAUCAGGAACUCUCAAGAAGAUCUGCUGGUCAGGAGAGUUCAAGCCUGCCAAUUGCAAUGGCAUCGUGUGAGGAAGAGGAAGAGGAAGAGAAGGAAGAGGAAGAAGAAGAAGAAGAAGAGGAAGAAGUAAAGAAGAGGAGGAAGAGGAAGAGGAAGAUGGAUGAUGAUGAUGAUGAUGAUUGAUGAUGAUUUACUGCUCUAUACAAGCAAAAGAAGACCAAGGGCUUAAUCCAGAGAUUAAUUUAGAGAGGCAUAGAACAAGAGACACAUCCAGAAAAGUGCAGAUAGGCAUCUGGUACUUUGAGAUAUACUGGCUCUGGGUUUGGAAGUUUCAUUUGUCUUUCACGGCCUAUAA
Molecule: long non-coding RNA, 494 nt
Organism: Hemicordylus capensis (graceful crag lizard)
Lineage: Eukaryota; Metazoa; Chordata; Lepidosauria; Squamata; Cordylidae
Exons: 3
Source: RefSeq, a predicted model, not a curated record